RNAcentral lists this ribosomal RNA (490 nucleotides) under uncultured bacterium. RNAcentral describes it as "partial 16S ribosomal RNA". It matches the Rfam family "Bacterial small subunit ribosomal RNA", at positions 30 to 507 of the family's 1533-position model. The record is from RNAcentral.
AUUGAACGCUGGCGGCAUGCCUUACACAUGCAAGUCGAACGGCAGCAUGAUCUAGCUUGCUAGAUUGAUGGCGAGUGGCGCACGGGUGAGUAAUACAUCGGAACGUGCCCUUUUGUGGGGGAUAACUAGUCGAAAGAUUAGCUAAUACCGCAUACGACCUGAGGGUGAAAGUGGGGGACCGCAAGGCCUCAUGCUAUAGGAGCUGCCGAUGUCGGAUUAGCUAGUUGGUGGGGUAAAGGCGCACCAAGGCGACGAUCAGUAGCUGGUCUGAGAGGACGAUCAGCCACACUGGGACUGAGACACGGCCCAGACUCCUACGGGAGGCAGCAGUGGGGAAUUUUGGACAAUGGGCGAAAGCCUGAUCCAGCAAUGCCGCGUGUGUGAAGAAGGCCUUCGGGUUGUAAAGCACUUUUGUCCGGAAAGAAAUGGAUCUGGUUAAUACCUGGGGUCGAUGACGGUACCGGAAGAAUAAGGACCGGCUAACUACGUG